GCACAAGCGGUGGAGCAUGUGGUUCAAUUCGACGCAACGCGAAGAACCUUACCCAGGCUCGAACGGCAAGUGACAUCCGGCGAAAGCCGGCUCCCGCAAGGGCAGUUGCCGAGGUGCUGCAUGGCUGUCGUCAGCUCGUGUCGUGAGAUGUUGGGUUAAGUCCCGCAACGAGCGCAACCCUUGUCCGCUGUUGCCAUCAGGUUAAGCUGGGCACUCUGCGGAGACUGCCGGUGAUAAACCGGAGGAAGGUGGGGAUGACGUCAAGUCAGCAUGGCCUUUAUGUCUGGGGCUACACACGUGCUACAAUGGCAGAUACAAACCGUCGCGAGACCGCAAGGUGGAGCUAAUCGGAGAAAGUCUGUCUCAGUUCGGAUUGCAGGCUGCAACUCGCUUGCAUGUAUUUGGGGGGGUUAUUUAUCGCGGAUCAGCACGCCGCGGUGAAUACGUUCCCGGGCCUUGUACACACCGCCCGUCACAUCACGAAAGCUGGCUGUACUAGAAGUCGCCGCGCUAACCCGCAAGGGAGGCAAGCGCCUAAGGUAUGGUUAGUGAUUGGGGUUGAAGGUGGUACAAGGUA
RNAcentral lists this ribosomal RNA (577 nucleotides) under uncultured bacterium. RNAcentral's name for it is "bacterial SSU rRNA". It matches the Rfam family "Bacterial small subunit ribosomal RNA", at positions 923 to 1498 of the family's 1533-position model. The record is from RNAcentral.